This 451-nucleotide ribosomal RNA is filed under the name uncultured bacterium. RNAcentral's name for it is "partial 16S ribosomal RNA". It matches the Rfam family "Bacterial small subunit ribosomal RNA", at positions 28 to 523 of the family's 1533-position model. The record is from RNAcentral.
GGUGAACGCUGGCGGCAGGCUUAACACAUGCAAGUCGAACGGGUGUAGCAAUACAUCAGUGGCAGACGGGUGAGUAACACGUGGGAACCUUCCUAGGGGUACGGAACAACUCAGGGAAACUUGAGCUAAUACCGUAUACGUCCGUGAGGAGAAAGAUUUAUCGCCCUUAGACGGGCCCGCGUCGGAUUAGCUAGUUGGUGGGGUAACGGCCUACCAAGGCGACGAUCCGUAGCUGAUCUUAGAGGAUGAUCAGCCACACUGGGACUGAGACACGGCCCAGACUCCUACGGGAGGCAGCAGUGGGGAAUCUUGGACAAUGGGCGCAAGCCUGAUCCAGCCAUGCCGCGUGAGUGAAGAAGGUCUUCGGAUUGUAAAGCUCUUUUGCCAGGGACGAUAAUGACGGUACCUGGAGAAUAAGCCCCGGCAAACUUCGUGCCAGCCGCCGCGGUAA